UUGAACGCUGGCGGCAUGCUUUACACAUGCAAGUCGAACGGCAGCGGGGGCUUCGGCCUGCCGGCGAGUGGCGAACGGGUGAGUAAUGCAUCGGAACGUACCCAGUCGUGGGGGAUAACUACGCGAAAGCGUGGCUAAUACCGCAUACGCCCUGAGGGGGAAAGCGGGGGACCUUCGGGCCUCGCGCGAUUGGAGCGGCUGAUGUCGGAUUAGCUGGUUGGUGGGGUAAAAGCUUACCAAGCCGACGAUCUGUAGCUGGUCUGAGAGGACGACCAGCCACACUGGGACUGAGACACGGCCCAGACUCCUACGGGAGGCAGCAGUGGGGAAUUUUGGACAAUGGGCGAAAGCCUGAUCCAGCCAUGCCGCGUGCAGGAUGAAGGCCUUCGGGUUGUAAACUGCUUUUGUACGGAACGAAAAAGUCUUCUCUAAUACAGGGGGCGAAUGACGGUACCGUAAGAAUAAGCACCGGCUAACUACGU
This 482-nucleotide ribosomal RNA is filed under the name uncultured bacterium. Its description in RNAcentral is "bacterial SSU rRNA". It matches the Rfam family "Bacterial small subunit ribosomal RNA", at positions 30 to 506 of the family's 1533-position model. The record is from RNAcentral.